RNAcentral lists this ribosomal RNA (301 nucleotides) under uncultured bacterium. RNAcentral's name for it is "partial 16S ribosomal RNA". It matches the Rfam family "Bacterial small subunit ribosomal RNA", at positions 509 to 808 of the family's 1533-position model. The record is from RNAcentral.
CAGUAGCCACGGUAAUACGUAGGGGGCGAGCGUUGUCCGAAGUUACUGGGCGUAAAGCGCGCGUAGGCGGCUUCUUAAGUCUGAGGUGAAAGGUUCAACGCUUAACGUGAACAGUGCCUUGGAUACUGGGGAGCUUGAGUAUGGGAGAGGGCAGUGGAAUGGCUGGUGUAGCGGUGAAAUGCGUAGAUAUCAGUCGGAACACCCAUGGCGAAGGCAGCUGCCUGGCCUAAUACUGACGCUGAGGUGCGAAAGCGUGGGGAGCGAACGGGAUUAGAUACCCGCGUAGUCCCUGUCUCUUAUU